RNAcentral lists this ribosomal RNA (497 nucleotides) under uncultured bacterium. RNAcentral describes it as "partial 16S ribosomal RNA". It matches the Rfam family "Bacterial small subunit ribosomal RNA", at positions 28 to 507 of the family's 1533-position model. The record is from RNAcentral.
GACGAACGCUGGCGGCGUGCCUAAUACAUGCCAGUAGAACGCUGAAGGAAGGAGCUUGCUCUUUCUGGAUGAGUUGCGAACGGGUGAGUAACGCGUAGGUAACCUGCCUGGUAGCGGGGGAUAACUAUUGGAAACGAUAGCUAAUACCGCAUAAAAUUGAUUAUUGCAUGAUAGUCAAUUAAAAGGUGCAACUGCACCACUACCAGAUGGACCUGCGUUGUAUUAGCUAGUUGGUGGGGUAACGGCUCACCAAGGCGACGAUACAUAGCCGACCUGAGAGGGUGAUCGGCCACACUGGGACUGAGACACGGCCCAGACUCCUACGGGAGGCAGCAGUAGGGAAUCUUCGGCAAUGGACGGAAGUCUGACCGAGCAACGCCGCGUGAGUGAAGAAGGUUGUCGGAUCGUAAAGCUCUGUUGUAAGAGAAGAACGAGUGUGAGAGUGGAAAGUUCACACUGUGACGGUAUCUUACCAGAAAGGGACGGCUAACUACGUG